AAAAAUAUUUAAAUUUCAAUUAAAAUAAACAUGCUUCUGAGAUUCAAAUUCGGUUUUCAGAUUUCUUCUUCUUCAUCAACUCCUCUUUAUCUUUUUCUUCCUCAUUCUUCAUCCAAACUAAAGAAACGUCUUGAGCUACAACACACCUACGAGAUUCUCUCCGAUUCAUAAACCACCUACGAGAUUCUAACCAAUCCCAAAUCCUCAUCUUAGAUCUGGAGGUUGAAUUUGAAGGUGGAUGUUGCUGGUAGAGGUGGCGAAUAAUGGUGACGGCAUGGUGAUGGAUGAGAGUCACGUGAGAAGGAGAGUGAGAACAGCCAGGUUGUGGCUGUCGCCGACGAUGGAAGAUUUAGUGGUUGGUGACCCGGACACCGAUGGUGAUGACGGUGGUGCCAUGGUAGCGCGACGAGGACGAUGGCGGAUGAGUGUUAAUUUGCGGUGACUUGAUAGCUGGGUUUGUGACGUUUCUUGUUCUCUUCCACUGUUUAUAAUUUUCUGAAAGAAGUGAUUUUUUUCCCCUUGUAUUUGUUUUACUUUGUUGUUAGUUUUGGUUUGGAAUGGGUAGAAAAGAUGGGGAUAUUUUGUUAUGAAUUGAGUUCAUGGUGAUUUGAUUUGUAGAUGGGGAUGUGUUUAUAAAUGAUAUUUUAUAACGGUGUUGAAUAAUCAUCUUUCUACAAUUAUUAUAUUUGGACCAUGAAGAAAAUGUGGCUUAAGUGUUGCGCUCCAGAUAGACAUCAUUUUCUCCUCUGUGUGAACAUAAUGUGUUUUUCUUUCGACUAAGGAAAUAUUUCUAAUGUAACGUGUAGUCCUUGAAUGUCAGUGACUCUCUUGUUACUAUUUAAUACAUACAUUAUUUUUGCAUUUUUUGAAAUCUGAAUAAUUACUGAUGUAGUAAG
This 896-nucleotide long non-coding RNA is filed under the name Medicago truncatula (barrel medic). RNAcentral describes it as "long non-coding RNA (MTRU_LNC004008)". Lineage: Eukaryota; Viridiplantae; Streptophyta; Magnoliopsida; Fabales; Fabaceae. The record is from RNAcentral.